Molecule: long non-coding RNA, 1067 nt
Filed under: Capsicum annuum
Lineage: Eukaryota; Viridiplantae; Streptophyta; Magnoliopsida; Solanales; Solanaceae
Description: long non-coding RNA (CANN_LNC018669)
Source: RNAcentral
CUUCUCACGGUGGCAUUUUAUUAAGAUUCUUAAAGAUAAACAGACAUGCAUGCAUGAUGUAUAAUCAUCCAUGUUGACAAACAUUAUUCAUAGGUCAAAUACAUCGUCAUCCUCCUAAACUUGAUACAAACUUUCACCUUGACUCUUCAAGUAGACGUUCUUCACUUUAAACACCUUAUGUAGGCUUUCGUUGUGUCAUUUGACACCUUGCAAUCAGCUAAAAGUACAAAGAGAUCAUAAUACACUCGCCAAUAACAUGACAUCUUGACUAAUUAAAAGAGUACAUGUGACAUUUGAGUGAAAAAUAGUAGUUUUAUAUAAAUUUUAAGCAAAAAAAUAAAAACGUAGCACAACCCCUCCCCGUGGUUGUCCGCUCCAACAUACCCAAGACUUCAUUUUUUUUUAUAGAAACCAACCCUUCACCCCAGUCUGAUGUCGUCUUUUCCAUGAUACCCCAAAUGACUUAUUUAAAGUUUUCUUAAAAUCACUUCUGACAAUAACUCAAAAUGUACAAAAAAAAUAGAAAUUAUUCUUCUUCUCCUUCAUAAGCAUCGUAUAUCAACUUCAAUGGCGCCCUCACAUUCCAUCCCACAAAGUUGUACCUAUAAAAUAUUCUCAAUUCCAAAUCUAACACCAAAUUCUUUUCACAAUUAGAGUCCACAUUGAAAUUAUUGAUGAAGACAUCAUCAUGAAAUCGUAGCGAUCUGAAUUCGGGUCAAAAACCAAAUCCUUUUUGCAAUUGGAUUCCAUAUUGGAAUCAUCUACAAAGUCAUCAUCAUGAAACUUGGUAUGAAAAAAGACAAAAUUUGAUAUAAAAAUGGGCAGUGGAAUUCAAAGUUCUCGGAUAAAAGAUUGUGUAUUUUCAUUGAGAAUUUUGUAAUUAUAAAUUAAUUCUUGUCAAGAAAACUUAUUUGGGUAUGAUCCGAUUUUUGUGUAUGAUUUCUCUGAUUUUGAAAUUAUUUUUUUGAGCAUGAUUCAAUUUUCCAUAUGAAUUUUAUAUGAUUUAAUUUUUGAGUAAAUUGUUCUUUUCUUUGUAUGCUAAAAUUAAGAUUACAGACUAAUUCUUA